GCCUCACCUCUCUACUGUUAUGUAUGAGGUACAGACCUGAUGCCUCACCUCUCUACUGUUAUGUAUGAGGUACAGACCUGAUGCCUCACCUCUCUACUGUUAUGUAUGAGGUACAGACCUGAUGCCUCACCUCUCUACUGUUAUGUAUGAGGUACAGACCUGAUGCCUCACCUCUCUACUGUUAUGUAUGAGGUACAGACCUGAUGCCUCACCUCUCUACUGUUAUGUAUGAGGUACAGACCUGAUGCCUCACCUCUCUACUGUUAUGUAUGAGGUACAGACCUGAUGCCUCACCUCUCUACUGUUAUGUAUGAGGUACAGACCUGAU
Long non-coding RNA from Oncorhynchus keta (chum salmon), 328 nucleotides. RefSeq lists it as uncharacterized. Lineage: Eukaryota; Metazoa; Chordata; Actinopteri; Salmoniformes; Salmonidae. The transcript is spliced from 3 exons. The record is from RefSeq and is a predicted model, not a curated record.